This is a small nuclear RNA of Acomys russatus (golden spiny mouse), 117 nucleotides long. RefSeq annotates it as U5 spliceosomal RNA. Lineage: Eukaryota; Metazoa; Chordata; Mammalia; Rodentia; Muridae. The record is from RefSeq and is a predicted model, not a curated record. The transcript has a single exon.
AUACUCUGGUUUCUCUUCAGAUCCUAUAAAUCUUUUGCCUUUUACUAAAGAUUUCCGUGGAAAGGAACAACUCUGAGUCUUAAACCAAUUUUUUGAGGCCUUGCGUUUGCUAAGGCU